GCCGGUGGUUAUUGCAGGAAGCCCCCACCCGAUCCCAUUCCGAACUCGGUAGUGAAAUUUCCUAGCGCCGAUGGUACUUUAUCUUAAGAUAUGGAAGAGUAGGUCGCUGCCGGUU
This 115-nucleotide ribosomal RNA is filed under the name Candidatus Pelagibacterales bacterium. Lineage: Bacteria; Pseudomonadati; Pseudomonadota; Alphaproteobacteria; Candidatus Pelagibacterales. The record is from RNAcentral.